This 253-nucleotide ribosomal RNA is filed under the name uncultured bacterium. RNAcentral describes it as "partial 16S ribosomal RNA". It matches the Rfam family "Bacterial small subunit ribosomal RNA", at positions 524 to 776 of the family's 1533-position model. The record is from RNAcentral.
UACGGGGGGGGCAAGCGUUGUUCGGAAUUACUGGGCGUAAAGGGCUCGUAGGCGGCCAACUAAGUCGGAUGUGAAAUCCCCAGGCUUAACCUGGGAACUGCAUCCGAUACUGGAUGGCUUGAAUCCGGGAGAGGGAUGCAGAAUUCCAGGUGUAGCGGUGAAAUGCGUAGAUAUCUGGAGGAAUACCGGUGGCGAAGGCGGCAUCCUGGACCGAGAUUGACGCUGAGGAGCGAAAGCUAGGGGAGCAAACGGG